Molecule: long non-coding RNA, 761 nt
Organism: Heterocephalus glaber (naked mole-rat)
Lineage: Eukaryota; Metazoa; Chordata; Mammalia; Rodentia; Bathyergidae
Source: Ensembl
AUAUGAAUGAAUUCCAUGCUACAUCAGUGAGUUCUUCUCGUCCUCCUAUCUGUGGCAGAGGCAAGAUCAUGUGGUACUUAACACAGACCCAGGACUGCUCCUUCUGGCUUGUGAGUGUUGUUAUCAAACAGAGGAGGAAAAUGGAAGCCCUGGAGGAGGCUGAGUGCCUAGGAAAGAGGGAUCCUGAAAUGGUGGAGAAGUAAAGGUAAAUCCUGAGCUGCAACCAGGCCUCCAUAUGAAAACCAGCAGGAAGUGGUUCUGGUUCUGCUCUCCGACUCCUUAGGCCCUGGGUUUCCUCAUUGCCAAAGUGAGAAGUCUGAUCAAAGCGAUGCUCCAGGCCACCUUGUGAUCUUCCUUCUCAGAAGCUCCAGUCUGACAAAAGGGUUGUGCUGCCGGGCCGAGAUGGAGCUCAGAAAGUACAAACCCUCCUUCACUUGUGGCCUGAUGAAGGAAACAUCCUGUUGCCUGCCUGACCCACGACAAAGUGCACAAGAGAUCGUACCCCAGCCGACUUCCUGUCAGAGAGAGCCAAGCAAACAUGCUCGCUUGCUCUGAGCCUUUAAAAUAUCUCCCCUUAGAUUUCUAAGGAAAUGUGAGGCGAAGAGAUAACAGACAAACCAAGUGUGUUUAAAGAUGCCCUUUUGGGGCCGUUUUGUCAGUUUUUGGAAGGGUUGGUUAUCCAGGAUAAUCUGAAGGCUAGGAAAUAAAGGAGAGUUAGGGUUUGUACUGGAGCCAUCUGAGAGCAAGGCCCUCUUCUAAAA